Jatropha curcas is the source of this 969-nucleotide long non-coding RNA. RefSeq lists it as uncharacterized. The record is from RefSeq and is a predicted model, not a curated record. NCBI's taxonomy places the organism in Eukaryota, Viridiplantae, Streptophyta, Magnoliopsida, Malpighiales, Euphorbiaceae.
GGGACAUUCUUCACUUUUCUCAAAAGUGGAUUUCUUUUGGGUCUCCUUUAUGGCCUACAAUUGUCAUUCUCAAAUUGGUUCCUGCAGAUGAAGACCAUUUCAUUCUGUGAUGGUCUGCUGCUGUUUCUGAAAGCAACCCAACUCUCCCUAAUAAGAAAAAGGUUUGGCUGUUGGCCACUUAUUAAUAAUGGGUCGGUGGCUGAAGUCUUAAACAGGAGUCAUCUAAUUCUUCCAGGGAAACUCACUCACAUGCUUAUCAGCAACAGUAUCAACUUGUAAGUGCUUCAACUUUUUUUCUUUAUCUCUUCUUAUAUGAUUUGAGGCUCUAGAAAGCGAGAAUGGGCAAAUAAGAGAGAGAGAUGGGAGACAAAAUGCCAUUUUUCAAUGACAUUUUUUCUUACUUUUUGUCUUUUCACAACUGUGUAUUUUUUUUGUUUUGAAUGAAUUGUAUGAAUGACAAGGGAGAAAGUGUUCUGGGAUGGUGGAGGGAGCUUUCUUUUCCCGCUUUCGAGUUUAACGAUGAAAGUGUCUUUCUCUAUCACGGAAAAAUGAUCAAUUUUUAUCCAUUUACAGAUGCUAGGUUUGCAUGCUAGCUCUUAUCUCAUGCCUAUAUUUGCAUGUCCACUGAACCUGUUUUUUGCAGCAAACUCCAAAUGAAUAAAGUUCAAGUCUCGUAGGUUAUAGGCAAAAUAGCAAUUUACUUUCCAGUUAGUUUCUCAAUAAUUCAAGCUAUCAUCAAUUCCAAGACCAUACAAGAACAAGAGGGUCAACAUCUUAUUAACAUGAUCAUCUUCUUUAUAAUUUCCAUUACAGAAAAAGAAUUUACAUUAACCAUUGAUGAAGCAUAUCAGCUUCAAUUUUCUCUACGGGAUGGUGAGUUCUGUAUUAUGAUUUUGCUCUAUGAAACAUAUCAGCUUAAUGUAAAUUGGGAAAUUUUGAAAAAUAAUACUGAAGUUCUAUUUGGGAAUA